CCCUUAGACGUCCUGGGCUGCACGCGCGCUACACUGAUGUGUCCAGUAAGCACCUAACCUCUUCCGAAAGGAACGGGUAACCUUUGCAAAGCACAUCGUGAUGGGGAUAGAUUAUUGCAAUUAUUAGUCUUGAACGAGGAAUUCCUAGUAAGCACAAGUCAUCAGCUUGUGUUGAUUACGUCCCUGCCCUUUGUACACACCGCCCGUCGCUCCUACCGAUUGAAUGUUCCGGUGAGCUCUUCGGACUGCGCGGUCUGCAGUUUCUGCGUUCCGUGCGGAAAGUUGCGCAAACCUUAACAUUUAGAGGAAGGAGAAGUCGUAACA
Molecule: ribosomal RNA, 324 nt
Filed under: uncultured eukaryote
Lineage: Eukaryota
Description: partial 18S ribosomal RNA
Rfam family: Eukaryotic small subunit ribosomal RNA
Source: RNAcentral